This 923-nucleotide ribosomal RNA is filed under the name uncultured Actinomycetes bacterium. RNAcentral's name for it is "uncultured actinobacterium partial 16S ribosomal RNA". Lineage: Bacteria; Bacillati; Actinomycetota; Actinomycetes. The record is from RNAcentral.
UGAAUUUAGCGGCCGSGAAUUCGCCYUUCCCCGUCCAAUUCAUUUGAGUUUUASCCUUGCGGCCGUACUCCCCAGGCGGGGAACUUAAUGCGUUAGCUACGGCACCGACGACGUGGAAUGUCGCCAACACCUAGUUCCCAACGUUUACGGCGUGGACUACCAGGGUAUCUAAUCCUGUUCGCUCCCCACGCUUUCGCUCCUCAGCGUCAGUAAUGGCCCAGAGAUCCGCCUUCGCCACCGGUGUUCCUCCUGAUAUCUGCGCAUUUCACCGCUACACCAGGAAUUCCGAUCUCCCCUACCACACUCUAGCCUGCCCGUAUCGGAUGCAGACCCGGGGUUAAGCCCCGGGCUUUCACACCCGACGUGACAAGCCGCCUACGAGCUCUUUACGCCCAAUAAUUCCGGACAACGCUUGCGCCCUACGUAUUACCGCGGCUGCUGGCACGUAGUUAGCCGGCGCUUCUUCUGCAGGUACCGUCACUUUCGCUUCUUCCCUGCUGAAAGAGGUUUACAACCCGAAGGCCGUCAUCCCUCACGCGGCGUCGCUGCAUCAGGCUUUCGCCCAUUGUGCAAUAUUCCCCACUGCUGCCUCCCGUAGGAGUCUGGGCCGUGUCUCAGUCCCAGUGUGGCCGGUCGCCCUCUCAGGCCGGCUACCCGUCGUCGCCUUGGUAGGCCAUUACCCCACCAACAAGCUGAUAGGCCGCGGGCUCAUCCUUCACCGCCGGAGCUUUUAACCAGCUCCCAUGCGGAAGCCGGUGUUAUCCGGUAUUAGACCCCGUUUCCAGGGCUUGUCCCAGAGUGAAGGGCAGAUUGCCCACGUGUUACUCACCCGUUCGCCACUAAUCCACCCCGAAGGGCUUCAUCGUUCGACUUGCAUGUGUUAAGCACGCCGCCAGCGUUCGUCCUGAGCCAGAUCAAACUCU